AACUGCACCUGAAGGCGAUGAUGAUGACAUCGACCUCAGCCCCUGCAUUAACAACUGAGCAACUUCAAACCCUCCUCCUCCAUUUAGUCAUCUUGACAUUUUUUCAAACAUAUGAACAUGGACUGCUUCAGUAUCUGAAAAAACAGAAAUGAUACUGAACACUGCAAUCUUCACCAAAUAUCUCCAAUUCUGAUCUUAUGAUGGAAAAGAGGUAACAACCAGUUGGAAGAUAGCAAGCUAUUCUCACUUACCAUUUGCCUGUAAGCUGCUGCUUCUGUACAAUGGCUAAGAAACUGAACAAUUAGUGUGUCCACUGCCCUUUUUCUCCAGUAAAGAACUGAAAGGACUUGGAAAGGAAAAGGUCAACAACUAGAAAGAAUCAAGACAAAAAUGGCACCUCAUUGAAUCCUUCAGAUUGGUGCUAUUGAACUGUGUCACCCUGAUUUUUUUUUCCUCCACCAAGAACAUGUACAUUCUUUUUGUUCUCCAUGUCUAUCUACAUGUGUGUGUUGGGGUUUAAGAAAGGGUAAAG
Long non-coding RNA from Rhincodon typus (whale shark), 532 nucleotides. RefSeq lists it as uncharacterized. The transcript has 3 exons. The record is from RefSeq and is a predicted model, not a curated record. NCBI's taxonomy places the organism in Eukaryota, Metazoa, Chordata, Chondrichthyes, Orectolobiformes, Rhincodontidae.